This 236-nucleotide ribosomal RNA is filed under the name Leptopelis rufus (red treefrog). Its description in RNAcentral is "partial large subunit ribosomal RNA". It matches the Rfam family "Bacterial large subunit ribosomal RNA", at positions 1912 to 2146 of the family's 2925-position model. The record is from RNAcentral. Lineage: Eukaryota; Metazoa; Chordata; Amphibia; Anura; Arthroleptidae.
AGUGACCACAAUUUAACGGCCGCGGUACCCUAACCGUGCGAAGGUAGCAUAAUCACUUGUUUCCUAAAUAGAGACUAGUAUCAACGGCAUCACGAAGACUACACUGUCUCCCCCCUAAAAUCAAUGAAACUAAUCUCCUCGUGAAGAAGCGAGGAUGAACAUAUAAGACGAGAAGACCCCAUGGAGCUUUAAACAAACUUCAAUUGCUUUCCCCCCCCCCCCACCAUAAAAAUUAA